GCCGGGCGUGGUGGCGGGCGCCUGUAAUCCCAGCUACUGGGGAGGCUGUGGCUGGAGAAUGGCGUGAACCCAGGAGGCCGAGGUUGCAGUGAGCUGAAAUCACGCCACUGCACUCCAGCCUGGGUGACACAGCGAGAUUCUGUCUUUU
RNAcentral lists this small RNA (148 nucleotides) under Macaca fascicularis (crab-eating macaque). RNAcentral describes it as "Metazoan signal recognition particle RNA (ENSMFAG00000058996.1)". The record is from Rfam by way of RNAcentral. Lineage: Eukaryota; Metazoa; Chordata; Mammalia; Primates; Cercopithecidae.